ACAAAUUAGAGUGCUUAAAGCAGGCCUGUUGCGCCUGAAUACUGUGUGCAUGGAAUAAUGGAAUAGGACCUCGGUUCUAUUUUGUUGGUUUUCGGAACCCGAGGUAAUGAUUAAUAGGGACAGGCGGGGGCAUUCGUAUUGCGACGUUAGAGGUGAAAUUCUUGGAUCGUCGCAAGACGGACCGAAGCGAAAGCAUUUGCCAAGUAUGUUUUCAUUAAUCAAGAACGAAAGUUAGAGGUUCGAAGGCGAUCAGAUACCGCCCUAGUUCUAACCAUAAACGAUGCCAGCUAGCGAUCCGCCGAAGUUCCUCCGAUGACUCGGCGGGCAGCUCCCGGGAAACCAAAGCUUUUGGGUUCCGGGGGAAGUAUGGUUGCAAAGCUGAAACUUAAAGGAAUUGACGGAAGGGCACCACCAGGAGUGGAGCCUGCGGCUUAAUUUGACUCAACACGGGAAACCUCACCAGGCCCGGACACCGGAAGGAUUGACAGAUUGAGAGCUCUUUCUUGAUUCGGUGGGUGGUGGUGCAUGGCCGUUCUUAGUUGGUGGAGCG
Molecule: ribosomal RNA, 550 nt
Filed under: Conocephalus chinensis
Lineage: Eukaryota; Metazoa; Arthropoda; Insecta; Orthoptera; Tettigoniidae
Description: SSU rRNA
Rfam family: Eukaryotic small subunit ribosomal RNA
Source: RNAcentral